AGUGAACGCUGGCGGCAGGCCUAACACAUGCAAGUCGAGCGGCAGCGCGUCCGACCACCCUCGGGUGGUCGGAUGGCGGCGAGCGGCGGACGGGUGAGGAAUGCAUCGGAAUCUGCCUCGUUGUGGGGGAUAACGUAGGGAAACUUACGCUAAUACCGCAUACGACCUACGGGUGAAAGUGGGGGACCUUCGGGCCGUCACGCGAUGAGAUGAGCCGAUGCCGGAUUAGCUAGUUGGCGGGGUAAAGGGCCCACCAAGGCGACGAUCCGUAGCUGGUCUGAGAGGAUGAUCAGCCACACUGGAACUGAGACACGGUCCAGACUCCUACGGGAGGCAGCAGUGGGGAAUAUUGGACAAUGGGGGCGAACCCUGAUCCAGCCAUGCCGCGUGUGUGAAGAAGGCCUCGGUUGUAAG
Molecule: ribosomal RNA, 414 nt
Filed under: uncultured bacterium
Lineage: Bacteria
Description: bacterial SSU rRNA
Rfam family: Bacterial small subunit ribosomal RNA
Source: RNAcentral